GAUUAAUCCUGAAGUGAGAAAUAAUGAUAGACUGGUAGACUGAGCUUUGGCAUUAAUUCCUUUUGGUUGAAAUGGCUGAUUGACUCUUACUGUAGCACGUCUGCUGCCUCUCUUAAGUUCUAACUUAACUCUUCAGAAUUCAAUAGCAACUCCUGGAAGGCGCAGAGAUGAAGAUAACAAACCAUUCAUCAUUCUUUAUUGGAAUGUGAGACCUUCACACGGGGCUCGCAGAUGUGACACAAUGGGAUGAACUUCAUUCGUGAUGUGUAGAAAUUACUAAAGCAACAGCAGCUCCUGUGUCAGGACAGAAACUUGAAGCUAAAGUUCUUAUUCCAACUUUACUCAUAUAAGAAAGGGCCUCUAUGAGACUUCUGCCUGCUUGUAAUCAUCAGGAGUUGACCUCCAGG
This 407-nucleotide long non-coding RNA is filed under the name Struthio camelus australis. RNAcentral describes it as "lncRNA (ENSSCUG00000016208.1)". Lineage: Eukaryota; Metazoa; Chordata; Aves; Struthioniformes; Struthionidae. The record is from RNAcentral.